GGCCUACGGGGGGCAGCAGUGGGGAAUAUUGCACAAUGGGGGAAACCCUGAUGCAGCGACGCCGCGUGGAGGAAGAAGGUCUUCGGAUUGUAAACUCCUGUCCUUGGGGACGAUAAUGACGGUACCCAAGGAGGAAGCACCGGCUAACUACGUGCCAGCAGCCGCGGUAAUACGUAGGGGGCAAGCGUUAUCCGGAAUUACUGGGUGUAAAGGGAGCGUAGGCGGUGAUGCAAGUCUGGAGUGAAAGGCGGGGCCCAACCCCCGGACUGCUCUGGAAACUGUAUGACUUGAGUGCAGGCGGUGUA
Molecule: ribosomal RNA, 305 nt
Filed under: uncultured bacterium
Lineage: Bacteria
Description: bacterial SSU rRNA
Rfam family: Bacterial small subunit ribosomal RNA
Source: RNAcentral